CCAAAUGGAAAGUGAAUUAGAUUUUUCACGAUUUGUUUGUGAGAUUAGGUUGGCUAUGAUGAUGUAAAUAACGAAAACUUGAAAAUUGUCUUCAAUUAAACGUAUAUUUCGGAUGUUGUUGUGUCAUCCAUCUUCAGCUAGAACAACAUUAAAAUUAUCUUUAGGCUAAAACUAGAUAACAUAAAAAUCGCGCAAAACAAAUUACCAUAAAUUGGAAGUGAUUCCAAUCACAUUAACAUUCUAAUUUGAAAACUUGGAACUAAUUUCUCGUGAAAUACUAACACGAUCGUCAAAAUUGAAACUUGUUUCGAUGACAGAAACGACAUGACGUAAACUGAACGACUAACCAACAUGAAGUUGUUUGAACGAAUUCAUCACAUUAGUGUAGGUCGCAUGUAGCAUGUUCAACGAUUUGAAAUUUUGAGCCGAAUCGCCGUAAAGCCAAAUGUAGCAUGCUUCUAGCGUUUUUCGCUUGUACCAAUCUGAUUCGACGUCCAAUAUCUUCAAUUCUUUCUCAUCAAAAUCUGGUUCGUGAGUCGCGUUGUCUAGACAAUGUCGGACUAGAGCAGUUUUCGAGCCAGGGUUGAACCUUGAUCUAAAAUCAUAGUCAUGCUCCUUCGUUCGAGUACAUAGGCAUCUUUUCGUCUCACCUAUGUAAAACGUGGAACACUUUUUGCAUUUGAUUCUGUAUACGAUUCCUUUCCGAAUCAUCUUCGGAGUUUUCGUUUUCAUGUUCGAAUAAAUGUUCCGUAGUCUCGUUAUCGUUUUCGGUGCUGAUCUUAACCGAGUAUUGACCUUCUUCAGUUGUCGUUGAAUUUUAUGUGUCAAUUCAGGAACAUGGAUGACACAACAACAUCCGAAAUAUACGUUUAAUUGAAGACAAUUUUCAAGUUUUCGUUAUUUACAUCAUCAUAGCCAACCUAAUCUCACAAACAAAUCG
Molecule: long non-coding RNA, 940 nt
Organism: Bradysia coprophila
Lineage: Eukaryota; Metazoa; Arthropoda; Insecta; Diptera; Sciaridae
Source: RefSeq, a predicted model, not a curated record